Molecule: ribosomal RNA, 484 nt
Filed under: uncultured bacterium
Lineage: Bacteria
Description: partial 16S ribosomal RNA
Rfam family: Bacterial small subunit ribosomal RNA
Source: RNAcentral
AUUGAACGCUGGCGGCAUGCCUUACACAUGCAAGUCGAACGGCAGCGCGGGAGCAAUCCUGGCGGCGAGUGGCGAACGGGUGAGUAAUACAUCGGAACGUGCCCAAUCGUGGGGGAUAACGCAGCGAAAGCUGUGCUAAUACCGCAUACGAUCUACGGAUGAAAGCAGGGGAUCGCAAGACCUUGCGCGAAUGGAGCGGCCGAUGGCAGAUUAGGUAGUUGGUGAGGUAAAGGCUCACCAAGCCUUCGAUCUGUAGCUGGUCUGAGAGGACGGCCAGCCACACUGGAACUGAGACACGGCCCAGACUCCUACGGGAGGCAGCAGUGGGGAAUUUUGGACAAUGGGCGAAAGCCUGAUCCAGCCAUGCCGCGUGCAGGAUGAAGGCCUUCGGGUUGUAAACUGCUUUUGUACGGAACGAAACGGUCUUUUCUAAUAAAGAAGGCUAAUGACGGUACCGUAAGAAUAAGCACCGGCUAACUACGUG